This 116-nucleotide ribosomal RNA is filed under the name Dasypus novemcinctus (nine-banded armadillo). Lineage: Eukaryota; Metazoa; Chordata; Mammalia; Cingulata; Dasypodidae. The record is from RNAcentral.
ACCUAAGGCUAUAGUAAUGUGAUAACAACUGAUCUCCUCUAAUCUCAGAAGGUAAGCAGGACAGUGCCUUCUUCUCUGGGGUCCAGCCCAAGAAUGAGAUCCUGGCUCAUUAGUCU